UGAGGAAUAUUGGACAAUGGGGGCAACCCUGAUCCAGCCAUGCCGCGUGAGUGAAGAAGGCCUUAGGGUUGUAAAGCUCUUUCAAUAGUGAAGAUAAUGACGGUAGCUAUAGAAGAAGCCCCGGCUAAAUUCGUGCCAGCAGCCGCGGUAAUACGAAUGGGGCAAGCGUUGUUCGGAAUCACUGGGCUUAAAGCGUGCGUAGGCGGAUUUGCAAGUCAGGAGUGAAAUCCCGGGGCUCAACCCCGGAACUGCUCUUGAAACUGCAAGUCUAGAAUCCGAUAGAGGUCAGGAGAAUUCCUAGUGUAGAGGUGAAAUUCGCAGAUAUUAGGAGGAAUACCAGUGGCGUAGGCGCCUGACUGGGUCGGUAUUGACGCUGAGGUACGAAAGCGUGGGGAGCAAACAGGAUUAGAUACCCCCGUAGUCC
RNAcentral lists this ribosomal RNA (424 nucleotides) under uncultured prokaryote. RNAcentral describes it as "bacterial SSU rRNA". It matches the Rfam family "Bacterial small subunit ribosomal RNA", at positions 355 to 796 of the family's 1533-position model. The record is from RNAcentral.